RNAcentral lists this long non-coding RNA (1088 nucleotides) under Gallus gallus (chicken). RNAcentral's name for it is "long non-coding RNA NONGGAT005518". Lineage: Eukaryota; Metazoa; Chordata; Aves; Galliformes; Phasianidae. The record is from RNAcentral.
UGCCUUUACCUAUUAACCCUCACAGUUCCUUGAAUUCCUAAGGCAGGUGCAAUCUCUCAGCUUCACACAAUUGCCUAUACACAACAACACAUCCACUAACAAACACGCUAGAGCACAUAAAGGGAGACCUCUGAGCACACAAAGAUUGCAGACCAGUUUGGUAAACACCAUGAAAGCAGUGGCAACCCAGAGACACAGCGACAAGAGCCCCCUACUGAUACUGCUGCUGGAUACAACUGCAUUUCUUCCACAUCCUGCUUCACAGCUCCACCAGAUACUGCAACAAAAAGCAGUAAUCUCAAACAUCAGUGGCCACUGCAGCUUCAGAAGAUCCAAGACUCAUCCGUACGCUCAUCUAUAUUUAGCUUUAAACCAGACAAGCUGUGACAACAAGAGACCUUUGCUGUGUUCACUGCUCUUCUAAUAACCCUCUUUAGCAUUAGGGAAAGUGUCCAGUCACGGUAACAAAGGCACCGCUCAGCUGUGACAGACAGAACUUCCCAGCUGCUGAUUAUUCUGGAAAUGCUUGCCAGAAAGGGCAGAAAAAAAAAAGAGCAAAGCCCUUCAACUGAGCCACAUGCAGGUCAACGGCUGUUCUAACAUGCCUGAAACAAGCAGGAGGCGACCACGCUGCUCACUAGAAGAGCCGACUGAUCCGUGUAAGAAGUAACAUUACUCAUUUGAAAACCACAUUAACAAUUUCAGUUGAGUCAUUCGAUGUACACAGUCAUAAUUGCAGGGACGACGUGCGUUGUUUGUUCUCACGUUGGAGUCUCCUCCAUAGGGCAGAGCCACCUCUCGAGGUCACAUUUCUAUUGCUGCUCAUGCCGGGGGAGAACUGAUUUCUUCUGUUAAGAAAGUGAGGGACGUGCACUGCUAUUGACAGAGUAAUACGGCAUUUUGAAUCAAGUACUGCUGCAACUGCAUUUCUAUGGUUUGUGCAAAUGUAUUUAUGUGGUUUCCAUGGAGAUGGGAGCUGGGAAUGGGGGAUUAUGUAGUGAAGGUAACUAACUUCACCACUAAGUCCCUGACAAAGACCUUGGUUUCAUCCUGCCAAAAGCUGCUCAGAUACUGCACGCUGUUGCGCC